This 499-nucleotide ribosomal RNA is filed under the name uncultured bacterium. RNAcentral's name for it is "bacterial SSU rRNA". It matches the Rfam family "Bacterial small subunit ribosomal RNA", at positions 28 to 514 of the family's 1533-position model. The record is from RNAcentral.
GAUGAACGCUAGCUACAGGCUUAACACAUGCAAGUCGAGGGGAAACGAUAUUGGAAGCUUGCUUCUGAUAGGCGUCGACCGGCGCACGGGUGAGUAACGCGUAUCCAACCUGCCCAUCACUUGGGGAUAACCUUGUGAAAGUAAGACUAAUACCCAAUGACGUCUCUAGAAGACAUCUGAAAGAGAUUAAAGAUUUAUCGGUGAUGGAUGGGGAUGCGUCUGAUUAGCUUGUUGGCGGGGUAACGGCCCACCAAGGCGACGAUCAGUAGGGGUUCUGAGAGGAAGGUCCCCCACAUUGGAACUGAGACACGGUCCAAACUCCUACGGGAGGCAGCAGUGAGGAAUAUUGGUCAAUGGACGAGAGUCUGAACCAGCCAAGUAGCGUGCAGGAUGACGGCCCUAUGGGUUGUAAACUGCUUUUAUAAGGGAAUAAAGUGGGAGUCGUGAGACUUUUUGCAUGUACCUUAUGAAUAAGGACCGGCUAAUUCCGUGCCAGCAG